AACGAACGCUGGCGGCAGGCCUAACACAUGCAAGUCGAGCGCGCCCUUCGGGGUGAGCGGCGGACGGGUGAGUAACGCGUGGGAACGUGCCCUUUUCUACGGAAUAGCCUCGGGAAACUGAGAGUAAUACCGUAUACGCCCUUUGGGGGAAAGAUUUAUCGGAAAAGGAUCGGCCCGCGUUGGAUUAGGUAGUUGGUGGGGUAAUGGCCUACCAAGCCGACGAUCCAUAGCUGGUUUGAGAGGAUGAUCAGCCACACUGGGACUGAGACACGGCCCAGACUCCUACGGGAGGCAGCAGUGGGGAAUCUUAGAUAAUGGGGGCAACCCUGAUCUAGCCAUGCCGCGUGAGUGAUGAAGGCCUUAGGGUUGUAAAGCUCUUUCAGCUGGGAAGAUAAUGACGGUACCAGCAGAAGAAGCCCCGGCUAACUCCGUG
This 433-nucleotide ribosomal RNA is filed under the name uncultured bacterium. RNAcentral's name for it is "partial 16S ribosomal RNA". It matches the Rfam family "Bacterial small subunit ribosomal RNA", at positions 29 to 507 of the family's 1533-position model. The record is from RNAcentral.